UUGUCCUUAGUUACCAGCACGUUAUGGUGGGCACUCUAAGGAGACUGCCGGUGACAAACCGGAGGAAGGUGGGGAGUGACGUCAAGUCAUCAUGGCCCUUACGGCCUGGGCUACACACGUGCUACAAUGGUCGGUACAAAGGGUUGCCAAGCCGCGAGGUGGAGCUAAUCCCAUAAAACCGAUCGUAGUCCGGAUCGCAGUCUGCAACUCGACUGCGUGAAGUCGGAAUCGCUAGUAAUCGUGAAUCAGAAUGUCACGGUGAAUACGUUCCCGGGCCUU
Molecule: ribosomal RNA, 279 nt
Filed under: uncultured Pseudomonas sp.
Lineage: Bacteria; Pseudomonadati; Pseudomonadota; Gammaproteobacteria; Pseudomonadales; Pseudomonadaceae
Description: partial 16S ribosomal RNA
Rfam family: Bacterial small subunit ribosomal RNA
Source: RNAcentral